This 226-nucleotide ribosomal RNA is filed under the name uncultured bacterium. RNAcentral's name for it is "partial 16S ribosomal RNA". It matches the Rfam family "Bacterial small subunit ribosomal RNA", at positions 123 to 334 of the family's 1533-position model. The record is from RNAcentral.
AAUCUGCCUUUGAGUCAGGGGUAACGCUGCGAAAGCGGUGCUAAUACCUGAUAAGCCCACAGCCCCUACUGGGGCAGAGGGAAAAGGUGGCCUCUGAUUCAAGCUAUCGCUUAAAGAUGAGCCCGCGUACCAUUAGCUUGUUGGUAGGGUAAUGGCCUACCAAGGCUAUGAUGGUUAACUGGCCUGAGAGGGUGGCCAGUCACACUGGAACUGAGACACGGUCCAG